UACGUAGGGUGCGAGCGUUGUCCGGAAUUAUUGGGCGUAAAGAGCUUGUAGGCGGUUUGUCGCGUCUGCCGUGAAAAUCCGGGGCUCAACCCCGGACUUGCGGUGGGUACGGGCAGACUAGAGUGUGGUAGGGGAGACUGGAAUUCCUGGUGUAGCGGUGAAAUGCGCAGAUAUCGGGAGGAACACCGGUGGCGAAGGCGGUUCUCUGGGCCUGUACUGACGCUGAGGAGCGAAAGCGUGGGGAGCGAACAGG
Molecule: ribosomal RNA, 253 nt
Filed under: uncultured bacterium
Lineage: Bacteria
Description: partial 16S ribosomal RNA
Rfam family: Bacterial small subunit ribosomal RNA
Source: RNAcentral